GACGAACGCUGGCGGCGUGCUUAACACAUGCAAGUCGAACGGAAAGGCCCUGCUUUUGUGGGGUGCUCGAGUGGCGAACGGGUGAGUAACACGUGAGUAACCUGCCCUUGACUUUGGGAUAACUUCAGGAAACUGGGGCUAAUACCGGAUAGGAGCUCCUGCUGCAUGGUGGGGGUUGGAAAGUUUCGGCGGUUGGGGAUGGACUCGCGGCUUAUCAGCUUGUUGGUGGGGUAGUGGCUUACCAAGGCUUUGACGGGUAGCCGACCUGAGAGGGUGACCGGCCACAUUGGGACUGAGAUACGGCCCAGACUCCUACGGGAGGCAGCAGUGGGGAAUAUUGCACAAUGGGCGGAAGCCUGAUGCAGCAACGCCGCGUGCGGGAUGACGGCCUUCGGGUUGUAAACCGCUUUCGCCUGUGACGAAGCGUGAGUGACGGUAAUGGGUAAAGAAGCACCGGCUAACUACGUGCCAGCAGCCGCGGUGAUACGUAGGGUGCGAGCGUUGUCCGGAUUUAUUGGGCGUAAAGGGCUCGUAGGUGGUUGAUCGCGUCGGAAGUGUAAUCUUGGGGCUUAACCCUGAGCGUGCUUUCGAUACGGGUUGACUUGAGGAAGGUAGGGGAGAAUGGAAUUCCUGGUGGAGCGGUGGAAUGCGCAGAUAUCAGGAGGAACACCAGUGGCGAAGGCGGUUCUCUGGGCCUUUCCUGACGCUGAGGAGCGAAAGCGUGGGGAGCGAACAGGCUUAGAUACCCUGGUAGUCCACGCUGUAAACGGUGGGUACUAGGUGUGGGGUCCAUUCCACGGGUUCCGUGCCGUAGCUAACGCUUUAAGUACCCCGCCUGGGGAGUACGGCCGCAAGGCUAAAACUCAAAGGAAUUGACGGGGCCCCGCACAAGCGGCGGAGCAUGCGGAUUAAUUCGAUGCAACGCGUAGAACCUUACCUGGGUUUGACAUGGAUCGGGAGCGCUCAGAGAUGGGUGUGCCUCUUUUGGGGUCGGUUCACAGGUGGUGCAUGGCUGUCGUCAGCUCGUGUCGUGAGAUGUUGGGUUAAGUCCCGCAACGAGCGCAACCCUUGUUCACUGUUGCCAGCACGUUAUGGUGGGGACUCAGUGGAGACCGCCGGGGUCAACUCGGAGGAAGGUGGGGAUGACGUCAAGUCAUCAUGCCCCUUAUGUCCAGGGCUUCACGCAUGCUACAAUGGCUGGUACAGAGAGUGGCGAGCCUGUGAGGGUGAGCGAAUCUCGGAAAGCCGGUCUCAGUUCGGAUUGGGGUCUGCAACUCGACCUCAUGAAGUCGGAGUCGCUAGUAAUCGCAGAUCAGCAACGCUGCGGUGAAUACGUUCCCGGG
RNAcentral lists this ribosomal RNA (1343 nucleotides) under uncultured bacterium. RNAcentral describes it as "16S ribosomal RNA". It matches the Rfam family "Bacterial small subunit ribosomal RNA", at positions 28 to 1378 of the family's 1533-position model. The record is from RNAcentral.